UUUUGAUCUCUAAGCUAAGCAAAAGAGAGCUUAGAAUCAUGUAGAAACUUAUCUAGAACCAUUUCUAGGCCAUUCAAACCGUUCCUAGGGCAUACAAACCGAAUCCUAGAAAUCCACCAUGAGAGCACCUCAAGAAAACAUGGUUUUCAUGGAUUCCAUGGCUUUAACUAAGUUUUUAAUCUUGUAAGAAGAACAAAACCAAAGGAUUUAGGGCAUAAAAUCAAAUCCUAAUAUCAAUCUUACAAGAAACCUCACCUUAGCCUAGAUGCCCACCAAGCUCCACCUUGUAGGAGAGCUCUAGGUCUUCCAAUCUCCAAAAUCUCCUCCAAAUCCUCCUUUUGAUCUCCUUUUUUCCAUCUUGAGAAGGUGUUUCUAGAGAAAGAGAGGAAGAGAAAUGAGAUAGGGAGUUGUUCUCAGCUGGGAACAAGAGAAAAGAAGGGUUAGGGUCUUAUAUAGUGUGACGCCCCAACUUCCCAGGGGGUCACCCAUCCUAGGACUACUCCCGUCCUAGCACGCUUAACUCUCUUAACCUCUUGGGCCUUGCCACCACCCAAAAUGCUUAAGCCGGGUUAAGAGUUUAGCCCUAUUAUAUCUCAUAUAUAGGACUAUCUGGGGUCUCACAAUCUCCCCUCCUUUAAGCCCUGACGUCCUCGUCAGGCUCAGACUCACAAGUACCAGGCGAUGUGAGACUCAUCUCGCUAGCCCGUCAUCCAGACCCUGGCUCAGUCGAGACUCAUCUCACACUUCCGGCUGGUAAUUGGCUCUGAUACCAUCUGUGACGCCCCAACUUCCCAGGGGGUCACCCAUCCUAGGACUACUCCCGUCCUAGCACGCUUAACUCUCUUAACCUCUUGGGCCUUGCCACCACCCAAAAUGCUUAAGCCGGGUUAAGAGUUUAGCCCUAUUAUAUCUCAUAUAUAGGACUAUCUGG
RNAcentral lists this long non-coding RNA (931 nucleotides) under Ananas comosus (pineapple). RNAcentral describes it as "long non-coding RNA (ACOM_LNC005349)". Lineage: Eukaryota; Viridiplantae; Streptophyta; Magnoliopsida; Poales; Bromeliaceae. The record is from RNAcentral.